RNAcentral lists this ribosomal RNA (918 nucleotides) under uncultured bacterium. RNAcentral's name for it is "bacterial SSU rRNA". It matches the Rfam family "Bacterial small subunit ribosomal RNA", at positions 49 to 948 of the family's 1533-position model. The record is from RNAcentral.
CUAUACAUGCAAGUAGAACGCUGAAGAGAGGAGCUUGCUCUUCUUGGAUGAGUUGCGAACGGGUGAGUAACGCGUAGGUAACCUGCCUGGUAGCGGGGGAUAACUAUUGGAAACGAUAGCUAAUACCGCAUAAGAGUAGAUGUUGCAUGACAUUUGCUUAAAAGGUGCAAUUGCAUCACUACCAGAUGGACCUGCGUUGUAUUAGCUAGUUGGUGAGGUAACGGCUCACCAAGGCGACGAUACAUAGCCGACCUGAGAGGGUGAUCGGCCACACUGGGACUGAGACACGGCCCAGACUCCUACGGGAGGCAGCAGUAGGGAAUCUUCGGCAAUGGACGGAAGUCUGACCGAGCAACGCCGCGUGAGUGAAGAAGGUUUUCGGAUCGUAAAGCUCUGUUGUAAGAGAAGAACGAGUGUGAGAGUGGAAAGUUCACACUGUGACGGUAUCUUACCAGAAAGGGACGGCUAACUACGUGCCAGCAGCCGCGGUAAUACGUAGGUCCCGAGCGUUGUCCGGAUUUAUUGGGCGUAAAGCGAGCGCAGGCGGUUAGAUAAGUCUGAAGUUAAAGGCUGUGGCUUAACCAUAGUACGCUUUGGAAACUGUUUAACUUGAGUGCAAGAGGGGAGAGUGGAAUUCCAUGUGUAGCGGUGAAAUGCGUAGAUAUAUGGAGGAACACCGGUGGCGAAAGCGGCUCUCUGGCUUGUAACUGACGCUGAGGCUCGAAAGCGUGGGGAGCAAACAGGAUUAGAUACCCUGGUAGUCCACGCCGUAAACGAUGAGUGCUAGGUGUUAGACCCUUUCCGGGGUUUUAGUGCCGCAGCUAACGCAUUAAGCACUCCGCCUGGGGAGUACGACCGCAAGGUUGAAACUCAAAGGAAUUGACGGGGGCCCGCACAAGCGGUGGAGCAUGUGGUUUC